This 477-nucleotide ribosomal RNA is filed under the name uncultured bacterium. RNAcentral's name for it is "bacterial SSU rRNA". It matches the Rfam family "Bacterial small subunit ribosomal RNA", at positions 9 to 471 of the family's 1533-position model. The record is from RNAcentral.
GAGUUUGAUCUUGGCUCAGGAUGAACGCUAGCUACAGGCUUAACACAUGCAAGUCGAGGGGCAUCAGGAAGAAAGCUUGCUUUCUUUGCUGGCGACCGGCGCACGGGUGAGUAACACGUAUCCAACCUGCCCUUUACUCGGGGAUAGCCCGGCGAAAGUCGGAUUAAUACCCCCAUAAAACAGGGGUCCCGCAUGGGAAUAUUUGUUAAAGAUUCAUCGCUGAUAGAUAGGCAUGCGUUCCAUUAGGCAGUUGGCGGGGUAACGGCCCACCAAACCGACGAUGGAUAGGGGUUCUGAGAGGAAGGUCCCCCCACAUUGGUACUGAGACACGGACCAAACUCCUACGGGAGGCAGCAGUGAGGAAUAUUGGUCAAUGGGCGAGAGCCUGAACCAGCCAAGUAGCGUGAAGGAUGACUGCCCUAUGGGUUGUAAAACUUCUUUUAUAAAGGAAUAAAGUCGGGUAUGGAUACCCGUUUG